AGAGAUGAUAUCACAAUAAGGUAAGGUCAUGUAAACUGUUAGAGAUGACAUCACAAUAAGGUAAGGUCAUGUAAACUGUUACAGAGAUGAUAUCACAAUAAGGUAAGGUCAUGUAAACUGUUAGAGAUGAUAUCACAAUAAGGUAAGGUCAUGUAAACUGUUACAGAGAUGAUAUCACAAUAAGGUAAGGUCAUGUAAACUGUUAGAGAUGACAUCACAAUAAGGUAAGGUCAUGUAAACUGUUACAGAGAUGAUAUCACAAUAAGGUAAGGUCAUGUAAACUGUUACAGAGAUGAUAUCACAAUAAGGUAAGGUCAUGCAAACUGAUACAGAGGUGACAUCACAAUAACGUAAGGUCAUGUAAACUGUUACAGAGAUGACAUCACAAUAAGGUAAGGUCAUGUAAACUGUUACAGAGAUGACAUCACAAUAACGUAAGGUCAUGCAAACUGUUACAGAGAUGACAUCACAAUAACGUAAGGUCAUGCAAACUGUUACAGAGAUGACAUCACAAUAAGGUAAGGUCAUGCAAACUGUUACAGAGAUGACAUCACAAUAACGUAAGGUCA
Oncorhynchus tshawytscha (Chinook salmon) is the source of this 569-nucleotide long non-coding RNA. Lineage: Eukaryota; Metazoa; Chordata; Actinopteri; Salmoniformes; Salmonidae. The record is from Ensembl.